This is a non-coding RNA of Pseudonaja textilis, 204 nucleotides long. The record is from RefSeq and is a predicted model, not a curated record. Lineage: Eukaryota; Metazoa; Chordata; Lepidosauria; Squamata; Elapidae.
UUGCAUUCUAACCACUGCACCACCAUGGCUCCUUGUUAAAUAAGUUAAGAAAGGGAUUGUUAUAAUGAUAAGAUAUAUUGUAUAGUUAAAGUAAGAAUGUAGUCAUUGACAUUAGAGCAAGGAAUUUGUAUUAAUCAUAAUUCUUAUUGCAUAAGAUAUUUGUACCCAGAUGACACGCAGUUUAAAGGGAAGGUGGAUUGGGUG